CCCUUGUGUUUCCAACCUUUGUUGCUUUGGCAGGUUGCCCCCGUGGCCGCCGGAACGAAAGCUCGUUCGGGCGUAAGCGGACGGUCGCCCCGCGGCUCGCCCCGCCUGCCAGAGCCCUUCUAAUCUUCGAACGAAUCGAGUCGUCUGAGUAUACUUUUGAAUAUUAUAAAACUUUCAACAACGGAUCUCUUGGUUCUGGCAUCGAUGAAGAACGCAGCGAAAUGCGAUAAGUAAUGUGAAUUGCAGAAUUCAGUGAAUCAUCGAAUCUUUGAACGCACAUUGCGCCCCCCGGUAUUCCGAGGGGCAUGCCUGUCCGAGCGUCAUUUCACCCCCCAAGCCCGGCUUGGUAUUGGAGCCCGCCCCACCGGACGGCCCCGAAAAGCGCUGGCGGCGCCGACGCGGUUCCGAGCGCAGUAGAAUGCUUGCUCACGACCGCGGCGCGCCCGCCCGUCACCCCAUUUCUGUGGUUGACCUCGGAUCAGGUAGGGCUACCCGCUGAACUUAAGCAUAUCAAUAAGCG
Molecule: ribosomal RNA, 520 nt
Filed under: fungal sp. TZ-2013
Lineage: Eukaryota; Fungi
Description: eukaryotic LSU rRNA
Rfam family: 5.8S ribosomal RNA (bases 170-323)
Source: RNAcentral